Molecule: small nucleolar RNA, 107 nt
Organism: Rhododendron vialii
Lineage: Eukaryota; Viridiplantae; Streptophyta; Magnoliopsida; Ericales; Ericaceae
Source: RefSeq, a predicted model, not a curated record
AAUCCAUGAUGUGGGAUUGAAUUAAGCAAGUCCUUAAAUCUUUCCCAAACCUGAUAAAACGACUCCCCCUCCUUUUGUUUGAAAGUUUGGAUUUGAGAGAUGAGAGC